CUCUCUCUCUCUCUCCUUUUAGUCCAACCAAUUAUUGCUCCGACCGUCGACCUCCCUGGUAGGUUUCAAAGAUUGUGGUUAGUUCAGAUAAGUGUGAAAAAAGUGUUCUGAAAGUGUUUGCAGUGAUUUUAACAGUAUAGGGGUCCUCAGGCUCAGGCACAAAGAGGAUCAUGCAAAAGUGUUUCGAGUUUCUAGACUCUGAUUUCAAGCCCCUUUUAGCCUUCCAAACUUCGGGUUUGGGAAAUAGUAUUUAAACAAAGUUGUAGAGAACCGAAUUAACUAUUCAACGCCCUUUGAAUCGAGUGAAACGGAUGUCCAAUGGGAAAGUUAUGGCCGAAAUACCAAAGGCAAAAACAGAGGACGUCCAGACCUGAGAUCCAGUGUUGGAAAAUUGCGUGUAAACAACAUUUUGAUUAUCUAUUCUCAAGAUUGAUGGUCAGUUCCCAACUGGUGCAUGUUCUCGGAAUUUUCGCCAUUGAAAGAUGUAGCAGCAUUCCUUCUAAAGACAUAUGAUCGCAUUGCAAGGGUCUAAGGAUUGUGACGUUGAGGCAAUAGGAUGUGACCCAACAGCUUCAAUUCAGUAAAUUUCUGAAGGUUCAAUGAAGGAGAGGUUGGUCUUAUGCCUGCUGAUUUGUCAUGGCUCUGGGGGUAUCGAUCUGGGGCUGAGGAUGAGGUAUUUUAUUGUUUUGCUUGGAUUCUCAUUCUACUACAUUUGCGGAAGAAAGUUUGGCUUGUUUAAGGAUAUAUUGCUACGUAUGUAUAUUAACUUCUUGACUAAUGAAAAACUGGUCAAAAAAGGCCACUGGGCAACAAUGAUUGAAAAUUUGAUGAGGAAGAAGAAAAGAACAGGGCAAUCAAGAAGAGGGCGAGCAAGAAGAAGGUGAAUAACUUGGUUGAAAAGAAGAUGAACGUGAAUAAGUUUGUUUUACCAAGCAUUGUGUAUACUUGUUGUUAGCAGUGGAUAUCAAUUUAACAUUCAUUGCUUUUGAUUUUGGAGUUUCUCUGGAAAAGUAUCCUUUGACGAGGUCAAUUUUUUAGGUUGUUGAUGAAACAGAUCGAUUACUCAGGGGAGCAAACCAAUCUUGGCUUCCCACUAUUCUUCAAUUAACGUGCUCCAGUGGUGGGGAUCUCAGAAGCCUCUUCCCUCCUUCCUUCCAUAUUUGGUUCCUUAAAAACCACAAGAAGAUAGUGAGUUCUAAUUUUCUUCACCUCCUUGGAAUAGUUGAAACUUCCGCACUGUUGGGCAUGCCCCACAAGCAUUGCUGCAAUUUUUGGUCAGUGUUAUGUGCUGCAAGCAUUAGAUACACCUUAGAUGAAACUGCAAUCAGGUAUCCAAGAUCGUAUCAUAUGUAUUCAACUAUUGGUUUCUUGGUGAAUUGCCAAUUAUGGUGGUUUCAUAAACUUGUGAGGGCUGUCAAUAUACUUUCGUGAUACCUGGAGCAAUGUUUUGGAUGUGUGUACUUCCUAAUUCUGAUUUUUUUUUUUUGUUUCUUGCUCAAAUUUGAGUGCCUUCAUACCGGCUAUCACAAAUUUUUGUUUGAACGAGUUGUAUUAGAACCCACAGUUAACAAGUCUAAUAUAGAUACUUAAAUGCAUCCCCUAAGGCCUAAUGGAUCUUUGAUAAUAAUGUUACUUUUGUUCAAAUUUCCUAUUUAGUUUUGUCUAAAUGUCUGGCGAAGUAUUUAACAUGUGACAGGUAGCUUGUACUUAAAAUUGGUUUUAAUAUGUUACAAGGGUAUUGAAAGGGGCUUUAAGGGUAAAGCUUACCCUAGGCUUGUGAAGAUGGUUCUAUGUGCGACACUAACCCAAGAUCCAAGCAAGCUUACCCAGCUUGAUCUGCAUCACCCUUUGCUGUUGACAUCUGAAAAAUAUGCUAUCGACUCCCUGAAAAUACGCUAUCCUUCCAAUUGCUUAGACUCUUGAUAAUAGCAUUAUAUAUGUGGUACACAAGUACUUGCCAAGUUCCUUGUAGUUGCGUACUUUCAAAAUUGAAGUUAUAAGAAAGAGAUUGAAAUUGGCCAAUUGGGGCUUUACAUAUCUGAACACUGUGUUAACAUAUUGAAGGGCCCAUAUGUUUAUAAAAUGUUCUUAGUUUUCUAAAUAGCUUUUUUCCCCUCAUUCAUGUGUCAACAACACGUGGAUAGUUUUCUGCUAUCACCAAUACAAAAACCCAAAACACUUUUCGAUACCAAUUCAUCCAA
Rhododendron vialii is the source of this 2201-nucleotide long non-coding RNA. RefSeq lists it as uncharacterized. The transcript is spliced from 3 exons. The record is from RefSeq and is a predicted model, not a curated record. NCBI's taxonomy places the organism in Eukaryota, Viridiplantae, Streptophyta, Magnoliopsida, Ericales, Ericaceae.